GGGCCCGUAGCUCAGUUGGAUAGAGCAUCUGCCUUCUAAGCAGAGGGUCGCACGUUCGAAUCGUGCCGGGCCUACCA
RNAcentral lists this transfer RNA (77 nucleotides) under Terriglobia bacterium. RNAcentral describes it as "tRNA-Arg". It matches the Rfam family "tRNA". Rfam says of the family: Transfer RNA (tRNA) molecules are approximately 80 nucleotides in length. Their secondary structure includes four short double-helical elements and three loops (D, anti-codon, and T loops). The record is from RNAcentral. Lineage: Bacteria; Pseudomonadati; Acidobacteriota; Terriglobia.